This 484-nucleotide ribosomal RNA is filed under the name uncultured bacterium. RNAcentral describes it as "partial 16S ribosomal RNA". It matches the Rfam family "Bacterial small subunit ribosomal RNA", at positions 30 to 507 of the family's 1533-position model. The record is from RNAcentral.
AUUGAACGCUGGCGGCAGGCCUAACACAUGCAGGUCGAGCGGAUGAAGGGAGCUUGCUCCUGGAUUCAGCGGCGGACGGGUGAGUAAUGCCUAGGAAUCUGCCUGGUAGUGGGGGAUAACGUCCGGAGACGGGCGCUAAUACCGCAUACGUCCUGAGGGAGAAAGUGGGGGAUCUUCGGACCUCACGCUAUCAGAUGAGCCUAGGUCGGAUUAGCUAGUUGGUGGGGUAAAGGCCUACCAAGGCGACGAUCCGUAACUGGUCUGAGAGGAUGAUCAGUCACACUGGAACUGAGACACGGUCCAGACUCCUACGGGAGGCAGCAGUGGGGAAUAUUGGACAAUGGGCGAAAGCCUGAUCCAGCCAUGCCGCGUGUGUGAAGAAGGUCUUCGGAUUGUAAAGCACUUUAAGUUGGGGGGAAGGGCAGUAAGUUAAUACCUUGCUGUUUUGACGUUACCAACAGAAUAAGCACCGGCUAACUUCGUG